AGCCAACUCUAGCCCAACCCCCCACGACAACCGCACAUAAAAAUUUACUAAAUCUUUAAAUCAAAACAUUCUUCCAACUAAGUAUAGGCGAUAGAAAAGUCAUUAGGCGCUAUAGAGAUUUGUACCGCAAGGGAGAGAUGAAAUAACAAUGAACUAAGCCGAGCAAUUAACAGCAAAGAUAAACCCUUGUACCUCUUGCAUUAUGGUCUAGCUAGAAUAAGCAAGCAAAGUGGACUUAAGCUUGCCACCCCGAAACCUAAGCGAGCUACUUGUAAGCAGCUAACCCUGAGCGAACCCGUUUCUGUUGCAAAAGAGUGGGACGACUUACUAGUAGAGGUGAAAAGCCAAUCGAGCUAGGUGAUAGCUGGUUACCUGCAAAACGAAUCUAAGUUCACCCUUGACACCUCCCCCAGGAGCCCUUACCACAACCCCAAUGUAGGUCAUCAAGAGUAAUUUAAAGGAGGCACAGCUCCUUUAAAAAAGGAUACAACCUUCACUAGCGGAUAAUUACAGCCUUACAUAACAAUUGUGGGCCUUUAAGCAACCAUCAGUAAAGAGUGCGUCAAAGCUCCCCUUUACAAAAAUCCUAAAUCCGUAUGACUCCCUCCCCACUAGCAGGUCAACCUAUACUAAUAGGAGAGUUUAUGCUAAAAUGAGUAACUAGGGCAAACCCCCUCUUAAGCGCAAACUUACAUCUACACAUUAUUAACAGGCACCUAAUACUCACACUACAACAAGACUACGUAUUACAUCCCCUGUUAUCCCAACCCAGGAGCGCAUGCUAAAAAGAUUGAAAUCUGUAAAAGGAACUAGGCAAAUCUCCAAGGCCCGACUGUUUACCAAAAACAUAGCCUUCAGCCAAACGAGUAUUGAAGGUGAUGGCUGCCCAGUGACUUUGUUCAACGGCCGCGGUAUCCUAACCGUGCGAAGGUAGCGCAACCAAUUGUCUCAUAAAUUGAGACUUGUAUGAAUGGCUAAACGAGGUCUUAACUGUCUCUUGCAGAUAAUCAGCGAAAUUGAUCUUCCUGUGCAAAAGCAGGAAUAAACGCAUAAGACGAGAAGACCCUGUGGAACUUAAAAAUCAGCAGCCACCUCGCAACAAAACUUAACCUACUAGGCUCUCCAGACAUGAUGCUGGCUCGCAUUUUUCGGUUGGGGCGACCUUGGAGAAAAACAAAACCUCCAAAAAUAAGACCACCCCUCUUAACUAAGAGCAACCCCUCGACGACUAACAGUAACCAGACCCAAUAUAGUUGACCAAUGGACCAAGCUACCCCAGGGAUAACAGCGCAAUCUCCUCCAAGAGUCCAUAUCGACGAGGAGGUUUACGACCUCGAUGUUGGAUCAGGACAUCCUAAUGGUGCAGCCGCUAUCAAGGGUUCGUUUGUUCAACGAUUAAUAGUCCUACGUGAUCUGAGUUCAGACUGGAGCAAUCCAGGUCGGUUUCUAUCUAUGUCGUACUUUUCCCAGUACGAAAGGACCGGAAAAGUGAGGCCAAUGAUUCAACACAUGCCUCCUCCCUAAGUAAUGAAUACAACUAAAUUACAAAGAGAUCCCACACAGUACCCAAUCCUAGAAAAGGAUC
Molecule: ribosomal RNA, 1585 nt
Filed under: Columba livia (rock pigeon)
Lineage: Eukaryota; Metazoa; Chordata; Aves; Columbiformes; Columbidae
Description: 16S ribosomal RNA
Rfam family: Bacterial large subunit ribosomal RNA
Source: RNAcentral